CUGAUUUAUUCUCCAUUCCGUGGGUGGAGAUGUUUGGUGGGUGGAGAAAAUACAGAAGUCUUCACAGUUAUGAGAAGAUUCACUAGUCUGCAAACUGACGUGAAGAAAAUCCAGUCAAGGCAAGUGAUUGAGUUUGGUGUCCUUUCUCUGACAGCAGACAGUGAGGUCUGACCAUCUAGACCUUUCUGCUACGAACACCUGCCGUCUCACUGCAGGACCAGAAGGAUUCAGUUGGAAUACAGAUCACUACCACUGCAAUGCCUCAAAGGGUCUUCCUGGGAUCCUCUCCAGACUGGCAGGAGUCCCCCCUAAACCCAGUUUCCAGUCUUCCAGCUCCACAUGGAUUUGCUGUGUGGCACAAAGUAUCUCACAAAUCAGGAAAUGCCUACCUUUUGGAUACUAAAUCCCACUCCUACUGUGCACGGUUAUCAUUUAGGAUAAGAAAACAAGGCCUGUUCUAGACAAGGAGAGACAAAAUUUGAUUUAGAGGUGACAGAAAGCAAUAUUUAACUGCAACUGCACAAAUCUGUUGUGGCCAGUUCCCAUAUUUACCAUGCUUCUACAAAACCAUUUGUCUCUCUAUAGACCCAGAUGGCCAGGGGUUCCGUUUGUCCCAAGGCUUCUGGCAGAGCAAGGCACACAGAUUGUUCUUUCCUUAGCUCCUCUGGAAUUAAUGAACAUUGAUUCAUUUCCAUUUAUUAGGAGAUAAGAUUUAACUUCUUGGCUCAGUAAGGCUUGUUUCCUGUGACACCUGCAGCU
Molecule: long non-coding RNA, 759 nt
Organism: Gallus gallus (chicken)
Lineage: Eukaryota; Metazoa; Chordata; Aves; Galliformes; Phasianidae
Source: Ensembl